GAUGAACGCUGGCGGCGUGCCUAAUACAUGCAAGUCGAGCGAACAGACGAGGAGCUUGCUCCUUUGACGUUAGCGGCGGACGGGUGAGUAACACGUAGGUAACCUACCUAUAAGACUGGGAUAACUUCGGGAAACCGGAGCUAAUACCGGAUAAUAUUUCGAACCGCAUGGUUCGAUAGUGAAAGAUGGCUUUGCUAUCACUUAUAGAUGGACCUGCGCCGUAUUAGCUAGUUGGGAAGGUAACGGCUUACCAAGGCAACGAUACGUAGCCGACCUGAGAGGGUGAUCGGCCACACUGGAACUGAGACACGGUCCAGACUCCUACGGGAGGCAGCAGUAGGGAAUCUUCCGCAAUGGGCGAAAGCCUGACGGAGCAACGCCGCGUGAGUGAUGAAGGUCUUCGGAUCGUAAAACUCUGUUAUUAGGGAAGAACAAACGUGUAAGUAACUGUGCACGUCUUGACGGUACCUAAUCAGAAAGCCACGGCUAACUACGUG
Molecule: ribosomal RNA, 497 nt
Filed under: uncultured bacterium
Lineage: Bacteria
Description: partial 16S ribosomal RNA
Rfam family: Bacterial small subunit ribosomal RNA
Source: RNAcentral